RNAcentral lists this ribosomal RNA (844 nucleotides) under Micrococcaceae bacterium 23_6-04TS4. RNAcentral's name for it is "bacterial SSU rRNA". It matches the Rfam family "Bacterial small subunit ribosomal RNA", at positions 531 to 1369 of the family's 1533-position model. The record is from RNAcentral. Lineage: Bacteria; Bacillati; Actinomycetota; Actinomycetes; Micrococcales; Micrococcaceae.
GGCGCAAGCGUUGUCCGGAAUUAUUGGGCGUAAAGAGCUCGUAGGCGGUUUGUCGCGUCUGCUGUGAAAGCCCGGGGCUUAACCCCGGGUGUGCAGUGGGUACGGGCAGACUUGAGUGCAGUAGGGGAGACUGGAACUCCUGGUGUAGCGGUGAAAUGCGCAAAUAUCAGGAAGAACACCGAUGGCGAAGGCAGGUCUCUGGGCUGUUACUGACGCUGAGGAGCGAAAGCAUGGGGAGCGAACAGGAUUAGAUACCCUGGUAGUCCAUGCCGUAAACGUUGGGCACUAGGUGUGGGGGACAUUCCACGUUUUCCGCGCCGUAGCUAACGCAUUAAGUGCCCCGCCUGGGGAGUACGGCCGCAAGGCUAAAACUCAAAGGAAUUGACGGGGGCCCGCACAAGCGGCGGAGCAUGCGGAUUAAUUCGAUGCAACGCGAAAAACCUUACCAAGGCUUGACAUACACCGGAUCGGCUCAAAGAUGGGUUUUCCUCCUUGUGGGGCUGGUGUACAGGUGGUGCAUGGUUGUCGUCAGCUCGUGUCGUGAGAUGUUGGGUUAAGUCCCGCAACGAGCGCAACCCUCGUUCUAUGUUGCCAGCACGUGAUGGUGGGGACUCAUAGGAGACUGCCGGGGUCAACUCGGAGGAAGGUGGGGAUGACGUCAAAUCAUCAUGCCCCUUAUGUCUUGGGCUUCACGCAUGCUACAAUGGCCAGUACAAUGGGUUGCGAUACCGUGAGGUGGAGCUAAUCCCAAAAAGCUGGUCUCAGUUCGGAUCGUGGUCUGCAACUCGACCACGUGAAGUCGGAGUCGCUAGUAAUCGCAGAUCAGCAACGCUGCGGUGAAUAC